UCUACGGGAGGCAGCAGUGAGGAAUAUUGGUCAAUGGCCGUAAGGCUGAACCAGCCACGUCGCGUGAAGGAAGAAGGAUCUCUGGUCUGUAAACUUCUUUUAUAGGGGAAUAAAGGUAUCAACGUGUGGAUAUUUGCAUGUACCCUAUGAAUAAGAAUAGGCUAACUGCGUGCCAGGAGACGCGGUAAUACGGAGGAUUCGAGCGUUAUCCGGAUUUAAUGGGUUUAAAGGGGGGGUAGGUGGUUUUUUAAGUCAGCGUUGAAAGUUUAUGGCUCAACCAUAAUAUUGCCGUUGAAACUGGAAGACUUGAGUGUGUUAGAGGUGGGCGGAAUGCGUGGUGUAGCGGUGAAAUGCAUAGAUAUCACGCAGAACACCGAUUGCGAAGGCAGCUUACUAGGCCAUAACUGACGCUGAGGCACGAAAGCGUGGGGAGCAAACAGGAUUAGAUACCCUUGUAGUC
RNAcentral lists this ribosomal RNA (460 nucleotides) under uncultured bacterium. RNAcentral's name for it is "partial 16S ribosomal RNA". It matches the Rfam family "Bacterial small subunit ribosomal RNA", at positions 338 to 795 of the family's 1533-position model. The record is from RNAcentral.